RNAcentral lists this unclassified non-coding RNA (501 nucleotides) under Hevea brasiliensis (rubber tree). Lineage: Eukaryota; Viridiplantae; Streptophyta; Magnoliopsida; Malpighiales; Euphorbiaceae. The record is from RNAcentral.
AUCAUCCCCUGUGAACUCAUUCCAUUCUGAAGACCAGUUUCUAUAUAAAGCCCAGAUUUGCCCCUUUCUAGGAAAUAUUUGAAUUGUAUCACCAAGACCUUUUGUCCAUCUGACCUUGUGUGAGAAGCAAUUAAUGGAGGUUCUAAUUUCAUGCCUGCCUCUUCUGAAAUCUCCACACGUUUUAGGAGCACCGGAAUUGACAGAGUUUAGUGAACACGUUCCACUAUUAUUUGAAUUUAACCAACUAACUCUGACCUUGAAAGGAUUUAGAGAAACCACCUCGAGAAUCAGGGCAUAAUAUCGAGGCAUCCCAUCACUGUCAUCAUAUGCAGCCCAGACCUGGUUAGGUCCAAAACAACUCUCUGUUCGAUCACUAUCAAAAUUGUGGAAAUCUGACUCAGUAACAUCUAUCAGCAUACACCCAGCAGAUUCAUUAUCUAAAUAAUUGUCAAAAGUUUCAGAACUAGACCUAUUUGCAAAGACUUUGGUUUCAGUUAUAAA